RNAcentral lists this ribosomal RNA (732 nucleotides) under Coniella diplodiella. RNAcentral describes it as "eukaryotic LSU rRNA". It matches the Rfam family "Eukaryotic large subunit ribosomal RNA", at positions 113 to 874 of the family's 3401-position model. Lineage: Eukaryota; Fungi; Ascomycota; Sordariomycetes; Diaporthales; Schizoparmaceae. The record is from RNAcentral.
AUUUGAAAUCUGGCUUCGGCCCGAGUUGUAAUUUGCAGAGGAUGUUUCUGGCGCGGUGCCUUCCGAGUUCCCUGGAACGGGACGCCAUAGAGGGUGAGAGCCCCGUAUGGUUGGAUACCAAGCCUGUGUGAAACUCCUUCGACGAGUCGAGUAGUUUGGGAAUGCUGCUCAAAAUGGGAGGUAAAUCUCUUCUAAAGCUAAAUAUUGGCCAGAGACCGAUAGCGCACAAGUAGAGUGAUCGAAAGAUGAAAAGCACCUUGAAAAGGGGGUUAAACAGUACGUGAAAUUGUUGAAAGGGAAGCGCUCAUGACCAGACUUGUGCUGGGCAGCUCAUCCGGGGUUCUCCCCGGUGCAUUCUGCCCAGUUCAGGCCAGCAUCGAUUUUUGCUGGGGGAUAAGAACGGUAGGAACGUGGCCCUCCUUCGGGAGGGUGUUAUAGCCUACCGUACGAUACCCUAGCGGAGAUCGAGGUUCGCGCAUCUGCAAGGAUGCUGGCGUAAUGGUCAUCAGCGACCCGUCUUGAAACACGGACCAAGGAGUCGUCCAUUAGAGCGAGCGUUUGGGUGUAAAACCCGCACGCGUAAUGAAAGUGAAAUUAGGUGAGAGCUUCGGCGCAUCAUCGACCGAUCCUGAUGUUCUCGGAUGGAUUUGAGUAAGAGUUUUAACGGACGGACCCGAAAGACAGUGAACUAUGCUUGUAUAGGGUGAAGCCAGAGGAAACUCUGGUGGAGGC